AUUGAAUUAACUUUUUAAUGGCAAAUUUCCUGCUUUUAGGCCUGAAAUUCUUUCAGUAUCAUCUCAAGAACUAUGAGAUGCACCCCUCGCAGG
RNAcentral lists this small RNA (93 nucleotides) under unclassified sequences. RNAcentral's name for it is "ATPC.2008-01-16 RNA". The record is from RNAcentral.